Molecule: long non-coding RNA, 968 nt
Organism: Synchiropus splendidus (mandarinfish)
Lineage: Eukaryota; Metazoa; Chordata; Actinopteri; Syngnathiformes; Callionymidae
Exons: 3
Source: RefSeq, a predicted model, not a curated record
UUUAUUGCACGGACAAGAACAUUGUUUUGUUUUUUUAAAUCACUAGACCCUCGUAAAUACCGAAUUGUUAAAUGUAUUACCAUCGAAAGGAAGCCGUGAGGUGCAAAGUGACGCGAGGGAGAAAUCGAGGCGCAAACUACUGAAUGUCGUCUUGGGAAGCGCGAUAUAAAGAUCCCAAAAUAAGCUUCCUGUGAGAGAACACACACUCAGCUGUCCGGCACUUUCAUUGGCAUAGCAGCCGUCUGUUACUGUUGGAGUCACAGUCAGAGAUGCCAGACAUGCCGACAUCAGCAAACCACAAGUUUGGGAGGGGAGGCGGGCACCAGGACCACCGGGACAGGUGCUGCUCCAGAAAGUAGCCGCGAUGACAGCAGCCACUGCGAGAUAAUGGAGUUAUUACAGAUCAGGACAAGCAGCAAGAGUGUCUGGAGUUUUAGCAGUGACAGAAAUGAAUCAUGUCCAAAAGUUAAUGACAAAACCUGUUCAAAUAAACUGAGCUGGGAUUGUGCGGCAAGUUUAAACAAUGUAAUGGUUUAUGUGAGUUCAGCAAAGAGCCUCCCUGCUUGUGCGUAUUAAUAGUUCCUCUGAUUUGUCAGAUUCUUGGCAGCGGUGACGACAUGCUGUGUGCUUUCUGAUUAACUCUUUGGGAUUCUGACCAACACAGAGCUUUGGUCCGUGUUGUCAGUCAACUCCUACUAAUUGCUGCCGGCAGGGAAUGUGGACGGAGGCGGGCGGUGGGAUUGUUUAUCUCGCUCGGUACUUUGGGGAAUAAUUAUUUCUGGUAGUUGGGUCCGUAAUGACGUUGGUGAGGCAAGCUCAGGGUUGCUGGUUCAUACCCCCCCACAUGGACCGCAUACACAGACUGUAUGAACAUAUGUUGGGAGUCAUUUUGGGGCUCUUUCAUUUGCCCGGGAGCAAUUUUUCUCGAAAGCUCUGUUAUGUCUUCUGAAAUGAAUUAAUAGUGUAGU